UACGGAGGGUGCAAGCGGUAUCCGGAAUUAUUGGGCGUAAAGAGCUCGUAGGCGGUUUGUCGCGUCUGCUGGGAAAACCGGAGGCUCAACCUCCGGCCUGCAGUGGGUACGGGCAGACUAGAGUGCGGUAGGGGAGAUUGGAAUUCCUGGUGUAGCGGUGGAAUGCGCAGAUAUCAGGAGGAACACCGAUGGCGAAGGCAGAUCUCUGGGCCGUAACUGACGCUGAGGAGCGAAAGCAUGGGGAGCGAACAGG
RNAcentral lists this ribosomal RNA (253 nucleotides) under uncultured bacterium. RNAcentral describes it as "partial 16S ribosomal RNA". It matches the Rfam family "Bacterial small subunit ribosomal RNA", at positions 524 to 776 of the family's 1533-position model. The record is from RNAcentral.